AUGAAAUAUGCGCAGUUGAGAAGCAUCGCCAAGGAGCUCGGGCUGAAAGCCAACGAGAAGGCCGAGAAACUCCUGAAAGCGAUCAAGCAGCAUUAUCAACAAGAACAGGACAAAGAGGAGGAAGGGCAGGUACAAGAGAAGGAUGUUACUGCUGCUAAAGAAGAUGAGACUGACCGUGGUGAUGAACAUGAAGACGCAUCUCGUGAGGAAGAGGUUCCCAGCUCCGCUGUGUUUGCUAACACACGUCGGAGUAACAGAACCAGUACCAAGAGAAAGCUCCCUGGUGCUGUAACAGCCGACUCAGUGUGA
This 309-nucleotide long non-coding RNA is filed under the name Cottoperca gobio. RNAcentral describes it as "lncRNA (ENSCGOG00000021795.1)". The record is from RNAcentral. Lineage: Eukaryota; Metazoa; Chordata; Actinopteri; Perciformes; Bovichtidae.